RNAcentral lists this long non-coding RNA (575 nucleotides) under Mus pahari (shrew mouse). Its description in RNAcentral is "expressed sequence AU016765 (MGP_PahariEiJ_G0004860.1)". Lineage: Eukaryota; Metazoa; Chordata; Mammalia; Rodentia; Muridae. The record is from RNAcentral.
GCCAGGCGGAACUUGGCGACACGUGAUCCCACACAAGACUACGCCAAGCUGAGUCUUACUGGGGAUCCGUGCUGGAGUGGACUGGAGCGGACUGGAGCGGAGGUCAGGAGCCUUUAAAGACACACUUAUAGCCUGUGCUGUCCCCUGAGGGUGCCUUGUUACCUUACCCUGCUCCAACGCACACAGCAUAACUUCUUUUCCUGGUCACUCUGAUCUCCAGGUUUCUGAGAUUCCAGAGUGAUAUGCCUUGAUGUCUCUUUCCUUAUGUUUCAUGUGUCUAAGCUUCAGUGAGCUUCUAAGAACUAAGGCUUGUCCAGGAGUACUGGUCAGCUAAGCUCCUCGGUGCCACCAAGAAUAGCUGUUCAAACAGUCAUCCUUCAGUCAUAGGAAAGCUUCGGUACGGAGAAAGGGUGUGCAUCUAUCCGUGGCUGGUGCAUCUCCAAAUGAUUUCAAUUUAUGAUGAUAUUUGAAUACAGAAAAAUAAACGAAAACACUAGCACAUUUGACAUUUGAAAUUAUGCUGAUUGGCUGGCAUAUUUUAAAACACAUCAAAUAAAGACAGGCAUCAAUGUUUG